CCUACGGGUGGCAGCAGUGGGGAAUAUUGCACAAUGGGGGAAACCCUGAUGCAGCGACGCCGCGUGAGUGAAGAAGUAAUUCGUUAUGUAAAGCUCUAUCAGCAGGGAAGAAAAUGACGGUACCUGAGUAAGAAGCCCCGGCGAACUACGUGCCAGCAGCCGCGGUCAUACGUAGGGGGCCAGCGUUAUUCGGAUUUACUGGGUGGAAAGGGGGCGUAGGCGGGAGUGCAAGUCUGGAGUGAAAGGCGGGGGGUCAACCCCCGGACUGCGCUGGAAACUGUACGGCUGGAGUGCAGGAGAGGUAAGUGGAAUUCCUGGUGUAGCGGUGAAAUGCGUAGAUAUUAGGAGGAACACCAGUGGCGAAGGCGGCUUACUGGACUGUAACUGACGUUGAGGCUCGAAAGCGUGGGGAGCGAACAGGAUUAGAUACCCCAGUAGUC
RNAcentral lists this ribosomal RNA (440 nucleotides) under uncultured bacterium. Its description in RNAcentral is "partial 16S ribosomal RNA". It matches the Rfam family "Bacterial small subunit ribosomal RNA", at positions 338 to 795 of the family's 1533-position model. The record is from RNAcentral.